Non-coding RNA from Pelobates cultripes (western spadefoot toad), 362 nucleotides. The record is from the annotation of a GenBank genome assembly. NCBI's taxonomy places the organism in Eukaryota, Metazoa, Chordata, Amphibia, Anura, Pelobatidae.
AGAAUCCUCAGUAAUUAGUGAUUUUACUAACUUAUAUAUGUAAAGAUAUAUGAAUUUUAGCAGUAUCAAAAAUAGGAUGGUUUGUCCACUCCCAUCCAUUAAAUAAAUACAGAAGAAGCCGAUCGGAAUGUAGAAUUAUUUAACUCAGUGAAAUAUGCAUUAACCUUAUAGUUAUAGACCUUCAGAAAUAUAGGUUCUAACUAUGAACCAAUACUUGUGCCAGUCACCUAAUGCAAAUCCUUUUUUUCAGUUUUUUAUGUACCAUGGUUGUGCUUUACCGGUGUACGUAAUACAGAGGGUUAGAGCUUAUUUGGUUAUAUGCGUAAAUAUAGGACAAAAUUCACAAAUCUAUUUUGAAUAGC